GCACCGGAGGCAUCGCCAUGGACGUGC
RNAcentral lists this small RNA (27 nucleotides) under Bombyx mori (domestic silkworm). RNAcentral describes it as "ovarian small RNA-16311". The record is from RNAcentral. Lineage: Eukaryota; Metazoa; Arthropoda; Insecta; Lepidoptera; Bombycidae.